AAUUAUCGUAGAAUCGUUUUUGUAACAAUUCUUUUUCUUUGAACUAUGGUUAGCAUUUUUUUGUUUGUCAACGCCGAAGUCAACUGAUCGGUUUACCGGAAUUGUAUGUUCAUAAUAUUAACCAGAUGACGUCAUAUAGUUCAUAAAUAUGGUCAUGCAAUACAUGUACUUCGUGUAGCUCAAGAUACAAUAUUAUACUUGGUAUAUAUGACAGCGUAAUUCUCUAUAUUUCGUGUAGUUAGCCAUCUUUUUUCCUUUUAUAAAAGAUAACAAAGUAAUUGAAAAUGAAUAUGUUUUUUCCUUUUUUGGCUCAACAACAAUAAUUAUCAUUAAACAACAGAGUUUUACAACUUGUCUAAUUCCACAAACGAUUUUACCCAAUUUGGCACUAUAGAAUACAACUUAGGAUCAUAAUUCUCAAGAGAAAGAGAUUCCUUUGCUAUCCUAUCUGCCACUCCAUUGCCUCCACGAUGCAUGAACACAAACUUUGUUUCCUCAAAAUGCUGAAGCAAGAACUUGAUGUCUUGUAUAAUAGGGUCCAGAGUAGGCAUAUCAUCGUUAUCAACAAGAAUAGACACCAAUUGUUGGGAAUCAGAUUCAAAGAUUACCUUUCGGUAGUUGAGUCGAGAGAGUGACAACACCGCCCAACGCAACGCUUCAGCCUCAGUAACCAAGGCGGAUUGAGCCUUUGGUAUAGCCCUUGCACCCAUCCAAAGCACGUUCUUGUCGGAGUUUCUAAGCACCCAGCAAAUGCCACACUUGUUGCAUUCUGCAUUCCAAACUCCAUCUGAGUUACACUUAACCCACCCAUGUGGGAGUUGCUUCCACUUGAUCACUUGCUUCUCAGAGCUCUCUAUGAGAAAUGUAUAUGUUUAAAAUGAAUAUGUCUGAAAAUGAAUAUUUUUAAAAUGUAGUUUGAGAUGGUUUAAAAAUAUUAGUUAGAAAUAUUUUAAUUUAAAAUAAGACAUUAAAAGAAGUAUUCAAGUUAAAUUACAUUAAAAUUAUUAAAUAACACUAAAAAUACAUUAUAUUGAUGAGAGACACAAAAGUGAACCAAAAAUAAUAA
RNAcentral lists this small RNA (1066 nucleotides) under Arabidopsis thaliana (thale cress). Its description in RNAcentral is "ATSL101900". The record is from RNAcentral. Lineage: Eukaryota; Viridiplantae; Streptophyta; Magnoliopsida; Brassicales; Brassicaceae.